UAUUGGACAAUGGGGGCAACCCUGAUCCAGCCAUGCCGCGUGUGUGAAGAAGGCCUUUUGGUUGUAAAGCACUUUAAGCAGUGAAGAAGACUCUAUGGUUAAUACCCAUAGACGAUGACAUUAGCUGCAGAAUAAGCACCGGCUAACUCUGUGCCAGCAGCCGCGGUAAUACAGAGGGUGCAAGCGUUAAUCGGAAUUACUGGGCGUAAAGCGAGCGUAGGUGGCUGAAUAAGUCAGAUGUGAAAUACCAGGGCUUAACCUGGGAACUGCAUCUGAUACUGUUGGGCUAGAGUAGGUGAGAGGGAGGUAGAAUUUCAUGUGUAGCGGUGAAAUGCGUAGAGAGCUGAAGGAAUACCGAUGGCGAAGGAAGACUCCUGGCAUCAUACUGACACUGAGGUUCGAAAGCGUGGGUAGCAAACAG
RNAcentral lists this ribosomal RNA (421 nucleotides) under uncultured bacterium. Its description in RNAcentral is "bacterial SSU rRNA". It matches the Rfam family "Bacterial small subunit ribosomal RNA", at positions 362 to 775 of the family's 1533-position model. The record is from RNAcentral.